Molecule: long non-coding RNA, 1959 nt
Organism: Paramisgurnus dabryanus
Lineage: Eukaryota; Metazoa; Chordata; Actinopteri; Cypriniformes; Cobitidae
Source: RefSeq, a predicted model, not a curated record
ACUCAAGAUAUGUAUAUCAUUUUUAAAAUGUCUCAAAAAAGGUCUUAAAGACCCUUUUUUUAUGUUUUUGGUAUUAACGUUUUUUUUUAAGCAAUUCGGCAAUGACGUCACGUUGGGUAGAAGUAGAUGAAAGCCUCAGCCAGAGCCAUAGAGAUAGAUGAGACAUUUAUUGCCGUUUUAUUAAUACUUACGUUUAUAAUAUGGAAAUCAUAUAUACAUAAUAGGAAAUAUAUAAUGUGGUAUACUGCAAAGUUACCCUGCUAAUUAUUAUUUAUGAUAUAUGUGGAGAUAAAUAAAACUUUGCAAAUCUGCUGAUUCAAUCCAUUCAUGUCCUGACCACCAGGCUAGAGAGUUUUAAACAUCCUUAAUCCACACUUACUAGUCUAUCAUAUAAUAUCUAAAAUAUAUUUUUAUGUGAAAUAAAAGGAAGUUUUGUUAUAUUGUUUAUGCGAUCAUAACGAAUCACACGAUCAUUUUAUACACAGAAGCAGCGGUCAGCAGCUGCAGCGGGCUUGAAUCCGACCGCAUACUGCAAUAAACAGGCGUUCGGCGGCUUUUUACAUCAAAGGAUGACAGGCUAGAAACCAAUCAAAUCACUGAUCCCCGUAUUUUUAUAAAUCCUGGACAUGAUUGGACCGGCCGAAUGGGUUGAGCACUUUUAUAUUUGUUGAGCAGAGAGGCUGCACAGUUUGACCAGCGGGCUGCGGGAACCGGCCGCACAUCAGACCGAGAUAUAACUCCCAAUGUAUAACUAUUAUCAGACCGGCCAAACGGGAAAGUCCCGACUCUCCCGACUGACACUCCGCUACUGGCUGUAGGGAAAUGUGUGUGUUUUGAUCGGUGUUCGAGGCUCUUACCCCGCGACCAGAUGUGACGACGUGACGCCUCACUCAGCUUCCAGGAUUUGAGUCAUGCUGCCUGAAUUUGUUUGUGCUGAAGAUCGCAUACACCCAUUUCAGCAGGAUUAUUGUCCCCAUCAAACCAGCACGCACGAACUGAGGGAAGGGCAAUUUGACAUCUCUUACCUGCACAUUUUUGACUGUGGGAGGAAACUGGAGUACCCAGAGUAAAGCCACACCGACACAGGGAGAACAUGCAAACUCCACACAGAAAGACUUCCUGACCCAGCUGGGAUUCAACCUGAGGACUUUCUUGCUGAAUCACAUGAAAGGUCACACCAGGUCAAGUGAAGCUGCUAGCUAGAACAUCAUAAAUGCACAGCAUAAAGAAAAAUAACUUCAAACAAAAUAUGCAAAUUAUUAACUAGUGUUUUUUUAAAUAAUUUAAAUGCUAUGCUAGUUGUGUUUUAUGUUGCUAUUUUGUAAACUGUUAUGUGUUAAUGUGGGCCUAUUCUUUAAGUUUUUCUAUGCAACAGUGUAUCAAUUAAUUGAAUACUUUAAUUGGUGCUGGUGGACUCUGUCACAGGUGCAAAGUUGAAAAGUAAAACAAUCACAUGUUAAGAUAUUUGCAUGGCUUUUCAUAAAUGCUAGUGAUGUAUUUAGGUGAACAGAAAAUUAGUCACAAAGGCUGGAGGGUGAGCAGUGGUAGUUUCUAUCUGGUUUAUAAAGUAAGUCACCACUACCGAUUAGUUGGGCACUUGGGUCUUGAGGUUUUAAUGUUAGUUUUAGGGAUGGGACGAUUUUCCGGUUUCACGAUUAACCACGAGAAAAUGUCCUGGCGGUUAGUAUUAUCGUUUAAAAUUUAAUUAUCAUUACAACCGUGUUUGUUUACUGUGAUUUUGAAAGCUCGCUGUAAAUCCUGUCCAGCCAGAAUCAGUUUGACCCAUGACAUGCACAUGCAACAUAGUUUUUUGCACAAGGCGGUAUUUAAGGGAUAAUGUAUUGUAUUCAUACACGGUAAACUUAUUAGACAGAUUUAUUUAUUUUUUUUACCAUAGAAAUAAUUUCAAGGACAUGAAAUAUUAAAUUGUGAUUUUCAAAAAUAAAACUUGGUCAAAUA